AAAACGACUCUCGGCAACAGAUAUCUCGGCUCUCGCAUCGAUGAAGAACGUAGCGAAAUGCGAUACUUGGUGUGAAUUGCAGAAUCCCGUGAACCAUCGAGUCUUUGAACGCAAGUUGCGCCCCAAGCCUUCUGGCCGAGGGCACGUCUGCCUGGGUGUCACAA
RNAcentral lists this ribosomal RNA (164 nucleotides) under Cardamine pratensis. RNAcentral describes it as "5.8S ribosomal RNA". It matches the Rfam family "5.8S ribosomal RNA". From Rfam's summary of the family: 5.8S ribosomal RNA (5.8S rRNA) is a component of the large subunit of the eukaryotic ribosome. It is transcribed by RNA polymerase I as part of the 45S precursor that also contains 18S and 28S rRNA. The record is from RNAcentral. Lineage: Eukaryota; Viridiplantae; Streptophyta; Magnoliopsida; Brassicales; Brassicaceae.